GACAGAGGUGCCGAGCGUUAGGCGGAAUCACUGGGCUUAAAGCGUGUGUAGGCGGGUCCGUAAGUACCUUGUUAAAUCCCACGGCUCAACCGUGGAACUGCUUGGUAUACUGCGGGUCUUGAGCCACCUAGGGGCAAGCGGAACAAACGGUGGAGCGGUGAAAUGCGUAGAUAUCGUUUGGAACGCCAAUGGUGAAAACAGCUUGCUGGGGGUGUGCUGACGCUGAGACACGAAAGCCAGGGGAGCAAACGGG
This 253-nucleotide ribosomal RNA is filed under the name uncultured bacterium. RNAcentral describes it as "partial 16S ribosomal RNA". It matches the Rfam family "Bacterial small subunit ribosomal RNA", at positions 524 to 776 of the family's 1533-position model. The record is from RNAcentral.